Molecule: regulatory RNA element, 104 nt
Organism: Sporomusa sp. An4
Lineage: Bacteria; Bacillati; Bacillota; Negativicutes; Selenomonadales; Sporomusaceae
Rfam family: SAM riboswitch aptamer (S box leader)
About the family: The SAM riboswitch is found upstream of a number of genes which code for proteins involved in methionine or cysteine biosynthesis in Gram-positive bacteria. The SAM riboswitch acts at the level of transcription termination control. The predicted structure consists of a complex stem-loop region followed by a single stem loop terminator region.
Source: Rfam
CUCUUAUCCAGAGUGGUCGAGGGACUGGCCCGAUGACACCCGGCAACCGGCAGCUAUGCUGCAGUGGUGCUAAUUCCAGCAGGAGAAAUCCUGGCAGAUAAGAG